UUCGCCUGAGGCUCCCGGCAUGCUUAGCUGACUCGCAGACGACUUUUCCCCUCCUCACAGGAAAGCUUCCAAGCGCCAAUUAGCAGUCCGAGGACGACGUGGGAGACAUUUGGAUCUGUGAAGAUGCUGAAAGCGAAUAAAUAAGAGGGAAAAUUAGCACAAAUGGGAAGUGAGCAAUCUAGUUGUAAAGCAGGGUCUUCUAGCCGAUCUCGCCAUGUUCAGCAAGAAGAAGAAACGCAUCGAGAUCUCCGCUCCCUCCAACUUCGAGCACCGCGUCCACACCGGCUACGACCAGCAGGAGCAGAAGUUCACCGGGCUGCCGCGGCCAUAAAAACCCCCGUUGCCAUCCCCGCCAUCCAGCACGGCUCGCAGAAGGUAGGCGGCUUCGCGGGGGCUGGCGGGGUUGGGGGGCUCCUGCUCUCUGCCCUCCUCUUGAGCGUGGAGGCGCCUGCUCCCCGUGAUUUAUUCGGUCCUCCU
RNAcentral lists this long non-coding RNA (477 nucleotides) under Struthio camelus australis. RNAcentral describes it as "lncRNA (ENSSCUG00000010180.1)". The record is from RNAcentral. Lineage: Eukaryota; Metazoa; Chordata; Aves; Struthioniformes; Struthionidae.